This 975-nucleotide long non-coding RNA is filed under the name Gossypium barbadense (sea-island cotton). RNAcentral describes it as "long non-coding RNA (GBAR_LNC006965)". Lineage: Eukaryota; Viridiplantae; Streptophyta; Magnoliopsida; Malvales; Malvaceae. The record is from RNAcentral.
CAACCCCGAGCUAACCUGACAACACUAAGAGAAAUGGGAAAAUGGUGUAAGCUUAAAAGCUUAGUAAGUUGGCAUAUUAAUAAUAAUAAGAAAUUAAUUAACAAUAUUAUCCCAUUCCUCAAUAAAUAUGCUCAAGAAAAUAGAAUCAUUAAUCACAUGAUUUCAUCUUUUUACACAAGAUCAGCUAAGGCUAUUUUCCUGAAUCAUCGUCACUAAUUUCAUAAUUUCUUAAGCUACAAAACUCAAAAUUAAGUUUCAUAAAUUUUCCUUGAAACUAGACUCAAAUAAAUUUCUACCAUAAAAUUUUCAGAAUUUUUGGUUUUUCCAAUCAAUACCAGAUUUUUCUUAAAGUUUCAUCUAUUUCACUGUCUGACAAUUCUGACCUCUCUAUAUAAAAACUCAGUUAUUUCAUUGUACAGAAUUCAAAUAAUGUUUUUGAUUAUUCAAGUAAAAAAUAUACUUAUUAAGGUUUCUAAAAAUAUAAACCAUGCCCCAUAAUUAUAUUUUUACAAUUUAUGAUGAUUUUACCAAGUCAGAACAAGGGAUCACGUAAUUAUUCUGAACUAGUCUCACAAAAAUAUAAAUAUCUAAAAAUAUAGAAUUCUUUUUAUUUUUAUAUUUCUUUUAUAUGAAAAUAGACUCAUUAAGCUUUAAUUUGAUAUCUCAUUCAGCCUCUAAUUAAAUUCCUACUAUUUUUGGUGAUUUUUCAAAUUCACGUCACUGCUACUGUCCAAAAUAGUUUUAUUGCUAAUUCACUCUUUCACACUUUCUUUGUAUUAACCUCAUUUUAACAUACAUAUCACAAAUCAUUUUCACCACAUUUCAUACAUCACAAGUAUAGGCCCAUGAUUACAAGGUCACCAUAAAAUCAUCCUCAUGUAUAACUUACUUGUUUAUAACCUUACCACAUCCCGGUCACUUAAUGAACACAUCAUUCACAUAACCAAGUUCUUGCACUUUUUCAUCACAAAACUC